GCCUAGCUCAAUCGGAUAGAGCGUCAGACUUUUAGGUUCCGAUAUAUUUCUUGAACUAAUCUGAAGGCUGCGAGUUAGACCCUCGCGGUGGGCU
Non-coding RNA from Paramarasmius palmivorus, 94 nucleotides. The record is from the annotation of a GenBank genome assembly. Lineage: Eukaryota; Fungi; Basidiomycota; Agaricomycetes; Agaricales; Marasmiaceae.